GGUUAUUUGUGUGUCGUGGGCCAGAGUCAAAGGCGGAUGGAUUCCCUCGGUCAGGACGGCAGCUGUGCGUGCAUCCAGUGUAUUAAGUUCAUCGCCAUUCCACUAGGGGUAGUAAAAGGGAUUCUCCCAGGUCAUUUCAAAAUGGCAGCUUCCAUGAAAUCAUGAAAAGACUUUUGGCGGGAAAUGCUUCAUGGAGAGAAACUUUCCUUCUGUCUGGACUCUUGUGCGACCUUCCCUUUGGGAACAAUGUCUAUCGGAAAGCUCUUCAGUGGAGACUCUCUCAGCCUGGACUCCUUAGCACUCGAGGAUUCCUGAGGUCUACAUGAAAAUCGAUUCUUACCACCAAAGUUGUGAUGAUGGCAAAUGUCAUGCUUCUGGAUAUCCACUUCCUGUGAGUCAUCCUGACUCGGCUGAGGACUGGAUCUGCCUGUCCCAGUGAUUGUACUGAUCUCA
Molecule: long non-coding RNA, 453 nt
Organism: Oryzias melastigma (Indian medaka)
Lineage: Eukaryota; Metazoa; Chordata; Actinopteri; Beloniformes; Adrianichthyidae
Exons: 5
Source: RefSeq, a predicted model, not a curated record